Molecule: unclassified non-coding RNA, 236 nt
Filed under: rhizosphere metagenome
Description: partial ribosomal RNA internal transcribed spacer region
Source: RNAcentral
GAGUAUUGAAAUGGGUUGUCGCUGGCCUCUCGGGGCAUGUGCACACUCAUCACUCUUCCACUCACACCUGUGCAUCUUUGUAGUCUAUUUCUCCUAUAUGUCUGGAGGCCAUUUGCGUGGUCAAUAGUCUGGGGGGGAAUCGUCUACUAUUUUAUACAUACGCUUCAGUUUAGAAUGUCAUUACUUGCUAUAAAACGCAUUUAAAUACAACUUUCAACAACGGAUCUCUUGGCUCU